This 253-nucleotide ribosomal RNA is filed under the name uncultured bacterium. RNAcentral's name for it is "partial 16S ribosomal RNA". It matches the Rfam family "Bacterial small subunit ribosomal RNA", at positions 524 to 776 of the family's 1533-position model. The record is from RNAcentral.
UACGUAUGGUGCAAGCGUUAUCCGGAUUUACUGGGUGUAAAGGGAGCGCAGGCGGCGCGUUAAGUCUGAUGUGAAAACCCGCGGCUCAACUGCGGGACUGCAUUGGAAACUGGCGGGCUUGAGUGCCGGAGAGGCAAGCGGAAUUCCUAGUGUAGCGGUGAAAUGCGUAGAUAUUAGGAGGAACACCAGUGGCGAAGGCGGCUUGCUGGACGGUAACUGACGCUGAGGCUCGAAAGCGUGGGGAGCAAACAGG